Long non-coding RNA from Homo sapiens (human), 935 nucleotides. Ensembl annotates it as L-threonine dehydrogenase (pseudogene). Its record names the gene TDH. NCBI's taxonomy places the organism in Eukaryota, Metazoa, Chordata, Mammalia, Primates, Hominidae. The record is from Ensembl.
AUGCUGUUCAUUAGGAUGCUGAGGCGAGCGGGGCAGAGCCCAGCCUGUGGCUGUUGGACGCCUGUCCUGCCGGUCCGCUUUCUGGGCAUCUCCCCUCGGCAAAUUCCAGCAGAUGCUAACUUCCACUCUGCGUCUUUCUCUGACACAGACCAUCCACGAGUCUUAAUUACAGGGGCUCUUGGCCAGCUGGGAGUGGGGCUUGCUAAUCUUUUGAGGAAACGAUUUGGAAAGGACAGUGUGAUUUUGUCUGACAUAAGGAAACCCCCCGAUCAUGUCUUUCACAGUGGCCUGCAUAACAUCCUGGAUGUCGCUGCGGAACACAAUCUGCAAUUGUUUGUGCCUAGCACGAUUGGGGCUUUUGGACCCACCUCUCCCCGGAACCCAACCCCCGAUCUCUGUAUUCAGAGACCCAGGACCAUCUAUGGGGUGUCCAAGGUCCACGCGGAGCUCAUGGGAGAAAUUUCUGAUGCCUGAGAUAUCCUGGAAUCAUUUCAGCUGACUCCCAGCCUGGAGGAGGAACAACUGACUAUGCAGUCCAGAUUUUCCAUGAUGCCACAAAGCAUGGCAAAUUCGAGUGCAACCUGGAAGCCUGCACGAGACUGCCCAUGAUGUACAUUGACGACUGCCUCAGAGCCACCCUGGAGGUCAUGGAGGCCCCAGCUGAGUCCCUUUCCAUGAGGACCUACAAUGUCAGCGCCAUGAGCUUCACACCCGAGGAGCUGGCCCAGGAGGUCCUCAAGCACGUGCCGGAAUUCCAGAUCACAUACAACGUGGAUGCCGUUCGCCAGGCCAUAGCGGAUGGUUGGCCGAUGAACUUUGAUGACAGCAAUGCUCGGAAGGACUGGGGGUGGAAACACGACUUUGAUCUUCCAGAGUUGGUGACUGCCAUGUUGAACUUCCAUGGUUCUGAAAGCAGAGUUGCCCAAGCCAACUGA